AAUCAAUCAAUUACAUAAAACCUGUAGGUCCUGCUCAUUAGGGCAGGUCCCGCCUGAUCGCUCAGCCUCCUGCAGCUUUCCCUUCCUCUAUUCCCCCUCAAAGGCACUCCUAUCAUCCCCGUUUUAUGGAUGAGUAAACUGAGGCUCCGAAGGACCAGGAGGCUCGUCUGGGUCACGCAGCACAGCCGGGGCCCUGGGGGGCUGAGCCCAGCUCUCUGGCGCUCCCGAGCGCUGCCUCUUCCAGGGACUCAAGAAACCCAGCCCAGCAAGGCCACAGGAACUGUCUGCCUUCUGGUCCAUUCCUGUGAGGUCCUACUAGCAAGUCCACUUCAACUUCAACAGGCCUUUGGCUCUGAUCCCCGGUGGAAGCAUCACCAUCCCCUCCGCCCGCCCUGGACCAGGACCGCCAGCAGAGCCGAGAUCGCGGAGCUGGCAGCACACACUCCACACGCAGGGGGCCAAGAAGGAGGGGCAGGGGCCAGUCACGCCUCUGCCCUUGGUCUCGGGCCCCAUGCGCUGCCUGUCAGUUCGGGGCAUAUACCGUAUCCUGGAAAAGGGGGAGCACAGUGGUCGGUCCUGCACCGAGCCUUGGAUGGGCCAUUCUUUCAACUGCAGCCUCCCCGAGAUGCAGUUAGCGGCAGCACGAGUGGAUCCCAUGGCCUAGGGUUCAAUGUCGCACCUUCCUUGCUGCAAAAUGGGACCCUUGGUCUGAGGUCAGCCUGUAUAGGCUAUGUGGUCCAUAUUCAUAAAUUGAACGCUGACUCUGGUCUGUGUGAUUUUCUACCCACCCUGCUGGGUGGAGAAUUGGGGACCCAGGGAGCACCCAUGUGGCACGUAUCUCCUUUCAUUUCUCAGUGGGUUUGGUUCUAAGGGGUUUCCCUGACAGACAGGAGAUAGCCUUUUCUCCCCGAGUCUUGUCUGGAGUAGAGUCGAGAGGUGUCGCUUUUCUUUCCAGUUCCGACAAGGGAUCAGGUAAGCCCGAGAGAGGCUCUCCGGAAUUCCCCAAGCAUGGCAGCCAGACCAGAGGGCAGGUGAGGGCCUCCUGGACGAUUCUGCAGCUUAAGUCAGAAGCGAUCCAAACACUGUCCCAUCUGGAGGGCGAUCCUGUCACCAUUCUAAACCUGUUUACUUUGGUGAUGUCACAAACGCUGAUGAUUUAGGGGCUUGGAG
This 1170-nucleotide long non-coding RNA is filed under the name Ursus americanus (American black bear). RNAcentral's name for it is "lncRNA (ENSUAMG00000011736.1)". The record is from RNAcentral. Lineage: Eukaryota; Metazoa; Chordata; Mammalia; Carnivora; Ursidae.